CAAAGGUGAGCCAGUACAGGAUGGACCCGCGUCUGAUUAGCUAGUUGGUAAGGUAACGGCUUACCAAGGCGACGAUCAGUAGCCGACCUGAGAGGGUGAUCGGCCACAUUGGAACUGAGACACGGUCCAAACUCCUACGGGAGGCAGCAGUGGGGAAUAUUGCACAAUGGGCGAAAGCCUGAUGCAGCAACGCCGCGUGAGUGAUGAAGGCCUUCGGGUCGUAAAACUCUGUCCUCAAGGAAGAUAAUGACGGUACUUGAGGAGGAAGCCCCGGCUAACUACGUGCCAGCAGCCGCGGUAAUACGUAGGGGGCUAGCGUUAUCCGGAUUUACUGGGCGUAAAGGGUGCGUAGGCGGUCUUUCAAGUCAGGAGUGAAAGGCUACGGCUCAACCGUAGUAAGCUCUUGAAACUGGGAGACUUGAGUGCAGGAGAGGAGAGUGGAAUUCCUAGUGUAGCGGUGAAAUGCGUAGAUAUUAGGAGGAACACCAGUUGCGAAGGCGGCUCUCUGGACUGUAACUGACGCUGAGGCACGAAAGCGUGGGGAGCAAACAGGAUUAGAUACCCUGGUAGUCCACGCUGUAAAC
Molecule: ribosomal RNA, 584 nt
Filed under: uncultured bacterium
Lineage: Bacteria
Description: bacterial SSU rRNA
Rfam family: Bacterial small subunit ribosomal RNA
Source: RNAcentral